GACGAACGCUGGCGGCGUGCUUAACACAUGCAAGUCGAACGGAAAGGCCCUGCUUUUGUGGGGUGCUCGAGUGGCGAACGGGUGAGUAACACGUGAGUAACCUGCCCUUGACUUUGGGAUAACUUCAGGAAACUGGGGCUAAUACCGGAUAGGAGCUCCUGCUGCAUGGUGGGGGUUGGAAAGUUUCGGCGGUUGGGGAUGGACUCGCGGCUUAUCAGCUUGUUGGUGGGGUAGUGGCUUACCAAGGCUUUGACGGGUAGCCGGCCUGAGAGGGUGACCGGCCACAUGGGGACUGAGAUACGGCCCAGACUCCUACGGGAGGCAGCAGUGGGGAAUACUGCACAAUGGGCGGAAGCCUGAUGCAGCAACGCCGCGUGCGGGAUGACGGCCUUCGGGUUGUAAACCGCUUUCGCCUGUGACGAAGCGUGAGUGACGGUAAUGGGUAAAGAAGCACCGGCUAACUACGU
RNAcentral lists this ribosomal RNA (467 nucleotides) under uncultured bacterium. RNAcentral's name for it is "partial 16S ribosomal RNA". It matches the Rfam family "Bacterial small subunit ribosomal RNA", at positions 28 to 506 of the family's 1533-position model. The record is from RNAcentral.